Molecule: long non-coding RNA, 1432 nt
Organism: Triticum dicoccoides
Lineage: Eukaryota; Viridiplantae; Streptophyta; Magnoliopsida; Poales; Poaceae
Exons: 5
Source: RefSeq, a predicted model, not a curated record
CUCUCCCUUCCUCUGGGUCGGCGGCCGCACCUUCGCCGUGGCCCCCGAUUCCCUUUGCCAUCGAUGGUCCUCAUCCUCCUUGGUCGCGGCGUCAAUCGAAAUCGAAAAUAUCUCCGCCCAGGCCCAGUACCAACGAAGAGAGGAAGGGCAAAGCCGUCGUCAGUGUCGCGUUUUGUUGCUCGUCGUCGUUCACGGAUUCUAGGUGGAUCUGAUUUCUUACACGAGGAAGACAAGAGCCGUGAUUGCCGCGUGCGCCUGCACAAUUCAAGUGGAUCGGUUAAAUUUUGAAACUGUAUCGGCUUCUCCACCAGCAAACAAUGAGAGAAAAACUAGGCGAGCUACCAACCAAAUGCACGCCAACAUUUUUUCGAUUCUUCCCGGGGCGCUAGUGCUUGCCUGACAAUCAGAAGAUGCAGAAGUUGCAGACAGAUUGGGUCACACAUUCUUUCUUCUUAAUCUGCAUAAAGUUCUGCUUCAAGUACAUAAUCAGGUACUAGUGCAACAGCUACUCAGCUGAUUUGAAGCAAACGGAUGCCUACAUUCUACGUACAUUACAGGUCUUAUGCUUACAGUUACACAUUUCAAGUGAAGAGCCACGAUUGCUGCAUGCAUCUGCACAUUUCAAGUGGAUUGCAGAUGGACACAUCCUCUACGCGAGCAGAGGAACUUGUCAGCAUACUGGCUUCUUCACCAGCAAACAGCGGGAGAAACUACGCGAGCUACCAACCAAAUACAUGCCAACAUACAGCUGAAAACAAUGUCGAUUCUUCACUAAUGCUUGUCUGGCAAUCAGGAGAUGCAGACAGAUUGUGGAUCACACAUUCUUAAUCUGCACAAGGUUCUGCUUCAAGUACAUCGUCAGCCAUUACUGCAAGAGCUACUCAGCUAGUUUGAAGCAACGGAUGCUCUACAUUACAGCUGUGGCCCCGGGCAAGAAUUGUACCAAUUGUUUCUCUGUAAAUACAAGUAAAGAAGGUUCACUAUAAAUAACAGUAUGUGAUGAGCAUGUCAAAGGUUGCAUAGUGGAGUCCUCUCGAUAUAUACUAUUCACAACAAUGUGCGUGCUAGAACACCAUUACCGCACGGUUCAUGGCAAGCUGCUUACGUGAGUCUGAACCCCGUUCCCCUGAAUCUGUCGGGAUUUGUGGGGUUAAUGGAACCAAUGUUUGUCAUUAUAAGUUAUGAAAGGCUAUUAUUGUACCCAACUUGUUUAAUGCAGCAAUGUGCGAUGCUAGAACACCAUUAUCAUUAGUGGUGAGAUGUUAUUCUCUACCAGUUGGUAGAAGAUCGAACUCAUAGGCAGAAACGUUGAUGACCAAGAGAGCAAUAAGACGGAAUUGUUUCGAUCAAGCGGUGUAAAUACUGAUCAUGCACUCAAUCAAACCUACUCAGUUCAUCUUAAACUGGGAAAUAAAGAUAAUCUUUUCAUGCA